GAGGUUGGGAGAGGGAUGCAGAAUUCCAGGUGUAGCGGUGAAAUGCGUAGAUAUCUGGAGGAAUACCGGUGGCGAAGGCGGCAUCCUGGACCGACAUUGACGCUGAACGGCGAAAGCUAGGGGAGCAAACGGGAUUAGAUACCCCGGUAGUCCUAGCCCUAAACGAUGAAUGCUUGGUGUGGCGGGUAUCGAUCCCUGCCGUGCCGAAGCUAACGCAUUAAGCAUUCCGCCUGGGGAGUACGGUCGCAAGGCUGAAACUCAAAUGAAUUGACGG
Molecule: ribosomal RNA, 274 nt
Filed under: uncultured bacterium
Lineage: Bacteria
Description: partial 16S ribosomal RNA
Rfam family: Bacterial small subunit ribosomal RNA
Source: RNAcentral